GCCCGGCUAGCUCAAUCGGUAGAGCGUGAGACUCUUACGAAUCACAAGUUCCGAAACAUCUCAAGGCUGUGGGUUCGACCCCCACGUCGGGCU
Molecule: transfer RNA, 93 nt
Filed under: Pyricularia oryzae 70-15
Lineage: Eukaryota; Fungi; Ascomycota; Sordariomycetes; Magnaporthales; Pyriculariaceae
Description: Magnaporthe oryzae 70-15 tRNA
Rfam family: tRNA
About the family: Transfer RNA (tRNA) molecules are approximately 80 nucleotides in length. Their secondary structure includes four short double-helical elements and three loops (D, anti-codon, and T loops).
Source: Rfam by way of RNAcentral